RNAcentral lists this ribosomal RNA (254 nucleotides) under uncultured bacterium. RNAcentral describes it as "partial 16S ribosomal RNA". It matches the Rfam family "Bacterial small subunit ribosomal RNA", at positions 524 to 776 of the family's 1533-position model. The record is from RNAcentral.
UACGUAGGCAGCAAGCGUUGUUCGGAAUUACUGGGCGUAAAGAGUGUGUAGGCGGUGCUCUAAGUCUGUUGUGAAAUCUCCCGGCUUAACUGGGAGGGUGCGGCGGAGACUGGAGUGCUAGAGUGUGGGAGAGGUAAGCGGAAUUCCUGGUGUAGCGGUGAAAUGCGUAGAUAUCGGGAGGAACACCAGUGGCGAAGGCGACUACCUGGCCUGUUUCUUGACGCUGAGGCGCGAAAGCUAGGGGAGCAAACGGG